This 207-nucleotide unclassified non-coding RNA is filed under the name uncultured bacterium. RNAcentral's name for it is "contains 16S-23S intergenic spacer region". The record is from RNAcentral.
CGCAAGUCUUGAACGAUUUCUUUAAUUCUUUCUAUCCCCAUCAGCACGACUAUCGUGUCGACAGCAGAAGCUACAACUUUCAAAUUUAAAUCCGAAUGAUUUUUCCCCAGAUUCUCUUGGCCAGUAACGAAGGCAACAGAUGACGAGUAGUUUCUGUGGGUAAGAGGGAUCCCUGCAUAGGCUGGAGCAGCAACUGCUGAUGAAAUG